Molecule: unclassified non-coding RNA, 240 nt
Filed under: soil metagenome
Description: partial contains 5.8S ribosomal RNA, internal transcribed spacer 2, and large subunit ribosomal RNA
Source: RNAcentral
AAGACUAUAGACCUGCGGAGUACCUGCGGAAGGAUCAUUACCGAGUUUUCAACUCCCUAACCCUUCUGUGAACCUACCUAUCGUUGCUUCGGCGGACUCGCCCCAGCCCGGACGCGGACUGGACCAGCGGCCCGCCGGGGACCUCAAACUCUUGUAUUCCAGCAUCUUCUGAAUACGCCGCAAGGCAAAACAAAUGAAUCAAAACUUUUAGCAACGGAUCUCUAGAUCGGAAGAGCACAC